UUCUUUCCAUCUUAGUGGCGGACGGGUGAGUAACGUGUGGGCAACCUGCCCUGUACUGGGGAAUAAUCAUUGGAAACGAUGACUAAUACCGCAUGUGGUCCUCGGAAGGCAUCUUCUGAGGAAGAAAGGAUUUAUUCGGUACAGGAUGGGCCCGCAUCUGAUUAGCUAGUUGGUGAGAUAACAGCCCACCAAGGCGACGAUCAGUAGCCGACCUGAGAGGGUGAUCGGCCACAUUGGGACUGAGACACGGCCCAAACUCCUACGGGAGGCAGCAGUGGGGAAUAUUGCACAAUGGGCGAAAGCCUGAUGCAGCAACGCCGCGUGAAGGAUGAAGGGUUUCGGCUCGUAAACUUCUAUCAAUAGGGAAGAAACAAAUGACGGUACCUAAAUAAGAAGCCCCGGCUAACUACGUGCCAGCAGCCGCGGUAAUACGUAGGGGGCAAGCGUUAUCCGGAAUUACUGGGUGUAAAGGGAGCGUAGGCGGCAUGGUAAGCCAGAUGUGAAAGCCUUGGGCUUAACCCGAGGAUUGCAUUUGGAACUAUCAAGCUAGAGUACAGGAGAGGAAAGCGGAAUUCCUAGUGUAGCGGUGAAAUGCGUAGAUAUUAGGAAGAACACCAGUGGCGAAGGCGGCUUUCUGGACUGAAACUGACGCUGAGGCUCGAAAGCGUGGGGAGCAAACAGG
Molecule: ribosomal RNA, 682 nt
Filed under: uncultured Lachnospiraceae bacterium
Lineage: Bacteria; Bacillati; Bacillota; Clostridia; Lachnospirales; Lachnospiraceae
Description: bacterial SSU rRNA
Rfam family: Bacterial small subunit ribosomal RNA
Source: RNAcentral